Molecule: ribosomal RNA, 1592 nt
Filed under: Salmonella enterica subsp. enterica serovar Cannstatt
Lineage: Bacteria; Pseudomonadati; Pseudomonadota; Gammaproteobacteria; Enterobacterales; Enterobacteriaceae
Description: partial 23S ribosomal RNA
Rfam family: Bacterial large subunit ribosomal RNA
Source: RNAcentral
GAAUGCUGACAUAAGUAACGAUAAAGCGGGUGAAAAGCCCGCUCGCCGGAAGACCAAGGGUUCCUGUCCAACGUUAAUCGGGGCAGGGUGAGUCGACCCCUAAGGCGAGGCCGAAAGGCGUAGUCGAUGGGAAACGGGUUAAUAUUCCCGUACUUGGUGUUACUGCGAAGGGGGGACGGAGAAGGCUAUGUUGGCCGGGCGACGGUUGUCCCGGUUUAAGCGUGUAGGUGUGUGUUCCAGGUAAAUCCGGUUCACUUUAACACUGAGGCGUGACGACGAGGCACUACGGUGCUGAAGCAACAAAUGCCCUGCUUCCAGGAAAAGCCUCUAAGCAUCAGGUAACAUCAAAUCGUACCCCAAACCGACACAGGUGGUCAGGUAGAGAAUACCAAGGCGCUUGAGAGAACUCGGGUGAAGGAACUAGGCAAAAUGGUGCCGUAACUUCGGGAGAAGGCACGCUGACACGUAGGUGAAGUGAUUUACUCAUGGAGCUGAAGUCAGUCGAAGAUACCAGCUGGCUGCAACUGUUUAUUAAAAACACAGCACUGUGCAAACACGAAAGUGGACGUAUACGGUGUGACGCCUGCCCGGUGCCGGAAGGUUAAUUGAUGGGGUCAGCGCAAGCGAAGCUCCUGAUCGAAGCCCCGGUAAACGGCGGCCGUAACUAUAACGGUCCUAAGGUAGCGAAAUUCCUUGUCGGGUAAGUUCCGACCUGCACGAAUGGCGUAAUGAUGGCCAGGCUGUCUCCACCCGAGACUCAGUGAAAUUGAACUCGCUGUGAAGAUGCAGUGUACCCGCGGCAAGACGGAAAGACCCCGUGAACCUUUACUAUAGCUUGACACUGAACAUUGAGCCUUGAUGUGUAGGAUAGGUGGGAGGCUUUGAAGUGUGGACGCCAGUCUGCAUGGAGCCGACCUUGAAAUACCACCCUUUAAUGUUUGAUGUUCUAACGUGGACCCGUUACCCGGGUUGCGGACAGUGUCUGGUGGGUAGUUUGACUGGGGCGGUCUCCUCCUAAAGAGUAACGGAGGAGCACGAAGGUUGGCUAAUCCUGGUCGGACAUCAGGAGGUUAGUGCAAUGGCAUAAGCCAGCUUGACUGCGAGCGUGACGGCGCGAGCAGGUGCGAAAGCAGGUCAUAGUGAUCCGGUGGUUCUGAAUGGAAGGGCCAUCGCUCAACGGAUAAAAGGUACUCCGGGGAUAACAGGCUGAUACCGCCCAAGAGUUCAUAUCGACGGCGGUGUUUGGCACCUCGAUGUCGGCUCAUCACAUCCUGGGGCUGAAGUAGGUCCCAAGGGUAUGGCUGUUCGCCAUUUAAAGUGGUACGCGAGCUGGGUUUAGAACGUCGUGAGACAGUUCGGUCCCUAUCUGCCGUGGGCGCUGGAGAACUGAGGGGGGCUGCUCCUAGUACGAGAGGACCGGAGUGGACGCAUCACUGGUGUUCGGGUUGUCAUGCCAAUGGCACUGCCCGGUAGCUAAAUGCGGAAGAGAUAAGUGCUGAAAGCAUCUAAGCACGAAACUUGCCCCGAGAUGAGUUCUCCCUGAGACUUAGAGUCUCCUGAAGGAACGUUGAAGACGACGACGUUGAUAGGCC